This 253-nucleotide ribosomal RNA is filed under the name uncultured bacterium. RNAcentral describes it as "partial 16S ribosomal RNA". It matches the Rfam family "Bacterial small subunit ribosomal RNA", at positions 524 to 776 of the family's 1533-position model. The record is from RNAcentral.
GACAGAGGGUGCAAACGUUGUUCGGAAUUACUGGGCGUAAAGCGCGUGUAGGUGGCUCGGAAAGUCGGGUGUGAAAGCCCUGGGCUCAACCCAGGAAGUGCACUCGAAACUCCCGAGCUCGAGUCCCGGAGAGGAAAGUGGAAUUCUCGGUGUAGAGGUGAAAUUCGUAGAUAUCGAGAGGAACAUCUGUGGCGAAGGCGGCUUUCUGGACGGUGACUGACGCUGAGACGCGAAAGCGUGGGGAGCAAACAGG